CCCAGCAACACCGCGGCCUCAAUCUCGUCCCUGCCCAAUUCUCGUCUGUCUCGUCUCGCGCCGCCCCUCCUUCCCUCCCUCCUCUUUUCGUGCAGCGCAAGAGAGGCGCAGCAGCCUGCAGCCCACAGAACGUAGGCCCGAUCCCGAGCCGGCCCUCCUUCCCCUCCCUCCCCCUCAAGCCGUUGCAGCAGACCGCCGCCGCCGCCGCCGCCGCCGCGGGCAUCUCCUCACGGAAAAAGGACGUAGGAGCGGCGCUGCUCGCCCGCCGGCCUGGGAGCAGGCCACAGCUCCUCCUCCCUCCUUUUUUCGGGUCUGAGUGGUAGCUAGCUACAGAACUGUCAGAUGGAAAAAGAAGACGACGAAUUUCCUUUGGAGGGGAAGGAUAAAAUCGUAGAUUCUAACAAUAGGGUGAAAGAGCUGAAACUUUUCACGGCGACAUGCAGCAUGGAUCGUUACGAUGUCAGUAUCAUGAUUAAAAAGGGUCCUGGAAUAACGGAAGAUACAUACAAUCUCAUGAAGGACUUCCAACAUAACACAAUCAUACCACAUCGCAACUUCUACCGCGACCGCGACAGCAAUCAAGGAAGGUUAGCUAUACCUGAUGCAGGAACAUCAUUCAAGUCCUGGGUAGGAAGCAGUGAAGGGAAAGAUCUUCUGAUUGAUGGAAAUGGAAACAUGUCAUCAUUGUUCAAAAGUAUGAUAAUUGAUAUUUGUGAUGCUGUGGAGAAAUCAUCUGCAAAGGGGAUUCUGAUAAAAAAAACCUUGAUUGGAAUAAUCUUUACAUUGCAAAGGAAACAACUCAGAGGAUUCUUCUCCUAGUAACAGAAGCGGAAACCUUACCAGGUGGGAUUUCCAUAAGUGUGUUCUGGAAACCAGUUUGGGAUAUUAUAGCAUGCUGUUACGACCAAUGGAAAACUAAGCCCAAUUCUGAAGCCCAAAGGUUUAUUUCUUUUAUUGGUCAAGUGAAUUUUUCUGUGAGGGCCUUGAGAAGAUAUCCAGAUAAUUGGGAUAAUUACACAAAGGGGGAGUAUCUGCUCUGUCUUAUAGCAGCUGAUCAAGGGAAAAUGAGAUCUGCGUGUCGGAUAAUAGACAUUUCAUGGCCUAAGGAAGAUGGAAAGCUACCAGAUGUGCUGGACAAAAUUAUGGAGCAUGAAAGCAAGAGCAAUCGCCAUUACAAUCCAAGCAAUCCAUUUGAUUAUAUGCUUCUUAUAAGGAAUGUGUAUAAACAUUUCUACAAGUUUCCUUAUCAGAUCAAGAUAAUUCACUUUUAAAACAUUCUGUAACUUACUAAUAUGCAUAGAGUUCAAGCAUGUUGUGAGUGCAAAAAGAUAAACAAAGAACUACCAAGGCCAUGAAAAUGCUCUGAUUGUUUAUUCCUAGGACAGCUUGAAAUAUGAAAUAAAUGUAAAAUACAGAGUAUAAUAUUUUUAGUCUGAGCUGUUUGUUAACUUGGAUAGACAGUGAAAAUUUUGGAUCUGUGACCUUAACACCUUGUCUAUUACAGUACUAGUGCACAGUGAUUCAGCACUUACAAUGUUUUGUUCCUAUUUACAGCAAAGGUUUAAUGGUACAAGAGAAGGUUUUAUAAAGAUGUUAGAACAAUGGUCACCGAAUAUCUGGCAAGACUUGUAUGAUGCAAUUGGUUGGCCAUGAUAGGUUCUUCUACUUGGAACUGUUCACAACUUGCAUUGAUUUAUGUCUUGCAUCAUCAUGUACUUCAGAAAUAGUCAUCAGGUGCUCUGUCUCAAUACCUCAGGUGUAGACAUAGAUAUUAAUGAGACCCUUGCUGGCUGGUUAAUGGGAUCAGCACCGCUGCCGAGCCCAGAAAAUUUCGUUCAGACUAUGAGGAUGUUUCAUCACCAAGUUUUACCAUGUACAAGAGUAUCUGCGCAUCUCGUAUGGAAUCUUGAGGUAUACGACCUGAGUUUAUUGCUGGUUCUUUGUCAUACCAUGCGUAGUGCCCCUUGCUGCUACUCUUUCAGAUGUAGAGUAGAACAGAAGUACUACUUGAGAAGACUAUUGCCCGCUCAGGUGUUGAGUUGCACACUUGUAUUUGACACGUUCUCAUGUAAACGUUGUACUGGUAGCUCCUGGUCUUGAGGAUAGACCGGUUCUCUUGC
Non-coding RNA from Triticum urartu, 2120 nucleotides. Lineage: Eukaryota; Viridiplantae; Streptophyta; Magnoliopsida; Poales; Poaceae. The record is from RefSeq and is a predicted model, not a curated record.